UAUAUUUGUGAGGCCCCUCAUGGGGGGGUCCUAGUAAUCACAUAAUCACCAUUUUUUUGCCAAUAUAAUCACAUAAUCAUUAAAUAUUUGCUUAUCUUUAGUAAUCAAAUAAUCAUAAACUAAAAAUACAGUCCUAGGUAAUCAAAUAAUCAUGAAAUAUUUGGCUUAAUAAUCAAAUAAUCAUUAAAAAAACGGCCAAGUAAUCACAUAAUCAAAAACCCCAUGAGGGCCCUA
This 234-nucleotide long non-coding RNA is filed under the name Mytilus galloprovincialis (Mediterranean mussel). Lineage: Eukaryota; Metazoa; Mollusca; Bivalvia; Mytilida; Mytilidae. The record is from RNAcentral.